Molecule: transfer RNA, 78 nt
Filed under: Methanosphaerula palustris E1-9c
Lineage: Archaea; Methanobacteriati; Methanobacteriota; Methanomicrobia; Methanomicrobiales; Methanoregulaceae
Description: tRNA-Met
Rfam family: tRNA
About the family: Transfer RNA (tRNA) molecules are approximately 80 nucleotides in length. Their secondary structure includes four short double-helical elements and three loops (D, anti-codon, and T loops).
Source: RNAcentral
GGGCCCGUAGCUUAGUCCGGUCAGAGCGCCCGGCUCAUAACCGGGCGGUCAUGCGUUCGAAUCGCAUCGGGCCCACUA